Molecule: long non-coding RNA, 461 nt
Organism: Ruditapes philippinarum (Manila clam)
Lineage: Eukaryota; Metazoa; Mollusca; Bivalvia; Venerida; Veneridae
Exons: 3
Source: RefSeq, a predicted model, not a curated record
CCAAAAGCAUUGUGUGACUGGUGGUUCAAAGGUAGCGACCACUCGAUUACUUAGACUUCUUGUUUUAUUGGUACUUAUGAUGUAAAAUGUAAAAUUACUAGUAUGUAAAACUGCAAUAGUUAAACAUGUAACUGACAAAGUGAUUUCUGCCUCAAAGGUUGUAAAGAAGGAAGUUACGGUAACAAUUGUGAAAACAACUGCAGUGUCAUAUGUUUAAACAAAAAAUGUGGGAGAGCUGACGGCAGUUGCACUGACGGAUGUAUCUCUGGCUAUGAAGGACGUAUUUGCGGAACAGAAACAAAAUCAGUUGACAAAUUCUUACUUGGGUUUGCUAUCAGCGGAUGGGCAUUGUUUGUCAUUCUUCUGGCGUUUGUGAUAAUUGUAGCUGUAAGAAGAAAACAGAUAAAGUCAAAAAGGAACAAAAGCAAUGCAGAGGAGGAUACACAAGCUCAAAUAAGGAA